GAUCUGGCUCAGGAUGAACGCUAGCGGCAGGCUUAACACAUGCAAGUCGAGGGGCAGCGGGGUGUAGCAAUACACUGCCGGCGACCGGCGCACGGGUGCGUAACGCGUAUGCAACCUACCCAUAACAGGGGCAUAACACUGAGAAAUUGGUACUAAUUCCCCAUAACAUUCGAAGAGGCAUCUCUUUGGGUUGAAAACUCCGGUGGUUAUGGAUGGGCAUGCGUUGUAUUAGCUAGUUGG
Molecule: ribosomal RNA, 240 nt
Filed under: uncultured bacterium
Lineage: Bacteria
Description: partial 16S ribosomal RNA
Rfam family: Bacterial small subunit ribosomal RNA
Source: RNAcentral